GACGAACGCUGGCGGCGUGCCUAAUACAUGCAAGUUGAUCGCUGAAGGUUGGUACUUGUACCAACUGGAUGAGCAGCGAACGGGUGAGUAACGCGUGGGGAAUCUGCCUUUGAGCGGGGGACAACAUUUGGAAACGAAUGCUAAUACCGCAUAAAAACUUUAAACACAAGUUUUAAGUUUGAAAGAUGCAAUUGCAUCACUCAAAGAUGAUCCCGCGUUGUAUUAGCUAGUUGGUGAGGUAAAGGCUCACCAAGGCGAUGAUACAUAGCCGACCUGAGAGGGUGAUCGGCCACAUUGGGACUGAGACACGGCCCAAACUCCUACGGGAGGCAGCAGUAGGGAAUCUUCGGCAAUGGACGAAAGUCUGACCGAGCAACGCCGCGUGAGUGAAGAAGGUUUUCGGAUCGUAAAACUCUGUUGGUAGAGAAGAACGUUGGUGAGAGUGGAAAGCUCAUCAAGUGACGGUAACUACCCAGAAAGGGACGGCUAACUACGUG
RNAcentral lists this ribosomal RNA (497 nucleotides) under uncultured bacterium. RNAcentral describes it as "partial 16S ribosomal RNA". It matches the Rfam family "Bacterial small subunit ribosomal RNA", at positions 28 to 507 of the family's 1533-position model. The record is from RNAcentral.